AAAACGACUCUCGGCAACGGAUAUCUCGGCUCUCGCAUCGAUGAAGAACGUAGCGAAAUGGCGAUACUUGGUGUGAAUUGCAGAAUCCCGUGAACCAUCGAGUCUUUGAACGCAAGUUGCGCCCCAAGCCUUCUGGCCGAGGGCACGUCUGCCUGGGUGUCACAA
RNAcentral lists this ribosomal RNA (165 nucleotides) under Arabidopsis thaliana (thale cress). RNAcentral describes it as "5.8S ribosomal RNA". It matches the Rfam family "5.8S ribosomal RNA". From Rfam's summary of the family: 5.8S ribosomal RNA (5.8S rRNA) is a component of the large subunit of the eukaryotic ribosome. It is transcribed by RNA polymerase I as part of the 45S precursor that also contains 18S and 28S rRNA. Lineage: Eukaryota; Viridiplantae; Streptophyta; Magnoliopsida; Brassicales; Brassicaceae. The record is from RNAcentral.